GCGCCUGUAGCUCAAUUGGAUAGAGCAACGGCCUUCUAAGCCGUAGGCUGUGUGUUCGAAUCACACCAGGCGCA
Molecule: transfer RNA, 74 nt
Filed under: Candidatus Susulua stagnicola
Lineage: Bacteria; Pseudomonadati; Candidatus Omnitrophota
Description: tRNA-Arg
Rfam family: tRNA
About the family: Transfer RNA (tRNA) molecules are approximately 80 nucleotides in length. Their secondary structure includes four short double-helical elements and three loops (D, anti-codon, and T loops).
Source: RNAcentral